Molecule: RNA transcript, 977 nt
Organism: Daphnia magna
Lineage: Eukaryota; Metazoa; Arthropoda; Branchiopoda; Diplostraca; Daphniidae
Exons: 4
Source: RefSeq, a predicted model, not a curated record
CUUCAGAGUACGGAAGUAUGAUGCCGUGCUAGCUUACCUGAUGCGUCACGAACUGAUAUAAAGACAUAGACCAUCAGUUUGGCACGAAAUAGUACAACGGAUUCCCUCCUCCAGUGUAGGUCGUUGGCAUUCGAUAAAGAAUGACCAUUCAAGCUGGAAAUUCACCGCUUUUUAUUCAAGGCGCGAACUGGGGCAUUGAAAAUAUAGUUGAAGUUCCUGUAGAUUCUGUGCUUGGCGAUCCGGCGUUCGUCUACGUCAACGUGUUCGCCCUGAUCUUUCGAGUUGUAGUUCAGCUGGAAAGACUUUUCGUUAAAGAAAAACCCGCUCCUCUAGAAAGAUCGGUGAAGAUCAACGAAACAUCUUCAAUUUACUAGAGAGAUCUUUGCAGAACACUGGAAUCGAUGGUAGGGCUUGUCUCCUACGGGCUAUAUGUGAGAUGCAGCAAAACCCGUUUAAUCACUAUUCGAUUAUGGGAGAAAUUCUGACAGCUCUUUUGACACCUAAACGAGCUGCUGGAAACCUGAUGCAAGAGUAUUUAGAAGCGGAAAAGCUGGGUCAAGCGGAUGCAGAGUUUUGCAUUACAAACUAUUCGGGAUGUCCAGUGUCACUUUUCAACAUGAUGCGCACGUACAGUACACCAGCCGACAAGCCGCACAUUCAUCAUCACGCAAAAGAUGCCAAAGAAGAGGGAAGAUUUCUUGAUGCAGAAGCAUCAGACGUAGAUCCGGGUGGAAUAGAUGAUGACGAUCAUGGUACCUGUAACUUUAGGGUCGACAUGUUUUAAAAUCGAUGUGACAUUACAUGAUCAUUUUCAAAUAACAAGAAAAAAGCUGGGCGGCAAAAAAUUGCUGUUGUCUAUUUAUAACUGUUAACUUACCUUAUCUAUUGCCAAAUACCUUUACUGUCUCAUCUUUUGCAUGUGAAAAUUACCCGAAAGGAAGUUUUUGAAAUAAAACAAUACACAGUUCUCAACCGUA